This 460-nucleotide ribosomal RNA is filed under the name uncultured bacterium. RNAcentral describes it as "partial 16S ribosomal RNA". It matches the Rfam family "Bacterial small subunit ribosomal RNA", at positions 338 to 795 of the family's 1533-position model. The record is from RNAcentral.
CCUACGGGAGGCAGCAGUGAGGAAUAUUGGUCAAUGGACGAGAGUCUGAACCAGCCAAGUAGCGUGAAGGAUGAAUGCCCUAUGGGUUGUAAACUUCUUUUAUCUGGGAAUAAAAUGAUCCACGUGUGGGAUUUUGUAUGUACCAUAUGAAUAAGGAUCGGCUAACUCCGUGCCAGCAGCCGCGGUAAUACGGAGGAUCCGAGCGUUAUCCGGGUUUAUUGGGUUUAAAGGGAGCGUAGGUGGAUUGUUAAGUCAGUUGUGAAAGUUUGCGGCUCAACCGUAAAAGUGCAGUUGAAACUGGCAGUCUUGAGUACAGUAGAGGUGUGCGGAAUGCGUGGUGUAGCGGUGAAAUGCUUAGAUAUCACGAAGAACUCCGAUUGCGAAGGCAGUUCACUGGACUGCAACUGACACUGAGGCUCGAAAGUGUGGGUAUCAAACAGGAUUAGAUACCCGUGUAGUC